GUUUGAGUUAAUCUGUUAUAUGUUAGUGGUUUCUUUAGGAUUUUUGUUAUAUAAUUUUUUUAAUUUCAUUUAUUGAUGUUUGGAUUUGUGAAGUUUUGAAACCUAGAUGUUUGCGUUUGAUUUGGUUAUUAUUCCGGAAAUUAAGCGAGUUCAGAGAAUAGGUAGUAGAGGUAGUGGUGGUCUUGGUGGUAAUAGUGUUAAUCAGAGAAGAUCUUCUCGACAAAAACAUGUUUCUUACCAGGAAGAUGGAUGCCAUUCAAAUUGAUGGAAACAUUGACCCUGUUGAAGAUGUCGAGGAUUCCAUAUUUUGCUUACAUUCAUAUUUUAAAUCCAUACUAUCGGUUUAUUUUGUUUUUACAUAGUUGAUAAAUCUAAGUCUACAUUAAAAAAGUCACAUGGAUUAAUAUAUGAAACUGGGUGAUUUUUGUGAAGAAAGCUAGCUAUUAUUAAACAUAGGGAUGAGCUCGGUACUAACCAGUACCGAACUGGUACCGUUAACAAAAAUACCGGUUCUAAAAUCCAUAAAAAUGGGUACCGGUACCGAAAAUACACGGUGCGGUUCGGUACCAUGCCGAACCGUACGGUUUGGUAUGGGAAAUUCGGUAGAUGAAA
This is a long non-coding RNA of Helianthus annuus (common sunflower), 612 nucleotides long. RefSeq lists it as uncharacterized. The record is from RefSeq and is a predicted model, not a curated record. NCBI's taxonomy places the organism in Eukaryota, Viridiplantae, Streptophyta, Magnoliopsida, Asterales, Asteraceae. The transcript has 3 exons.